AAACUCACCUGGCAGAGGAAACACCAUGACCAUGAAGGUGGUUUUCCCAGGGUGAGGCUUAUCCACUGCACUCCGGAUGUGCUGAGCCCUGCGAUUUCCCCAAAUGUGGGGGACUUGGCUGCAUGAUUUGUGGUAGUGGGGGACUGCAUUUGUGCUCUCCCCUG
Echinops telfairi (small Madagascar hedgehog) is the source of this 164-nucleotide small nuclear RNA. Its record names the gene U1. It matches the Rfam family "U1 spliceosomal RNA". From Rfam's summary of the family: U1 is a small nuclear RNA (snRNA) component of the spliceosome (involved in pre-mRNA splicing). The record is from Ensembl. Lineage: Eukaryota; Metazoa; Chordata; Mammalia; Afrosoricida; Tenrecidae.